GGCGACAUGGCUGAGUGGUAAGGCAGAGGACUGCAAAUCUUUUUUUCCCCAGUUCAAAUCCGAGUGUCGCCU
Molecule: non-coding RNA, 72 nt
Organism: Solanum tuberosum (potato)
Lineage: Eukaryota; Viridiplantae; Streptophyta; Magnoliopsida; Solanales; Solanaceae
Source: Rfam